GAUGAACGCUGGCGGCGUGCCUAAUACAUGCAAGUCGAGCGAACAGACGAGGAGCUUGCUCCUCUGACGUUAGCGGAGGACGGGUGAGUAACACGUGGAUAACCUACCUAUAAGACUGGGAUAACUUCGGGAAACCGGAGCUAAUACCGGAUAAUAUAUUGAACCGCAUGGUUCAAUAGUGAAAGACGGUUUUGCUGUCACUUAUAGAUGGAUCCGCGCCGCAUUAGCUAGUUGGUAAGGUAACGGCUUACCAAGGCAACGAUGCGUAGCCGACCUGAGAGGGUGAUCGGCCACACUGGAACGGAGACACGGUCCAGACUCCUACGGGAGGCAGCAGUAGGGAAUCUUCCGCAAUGGGCGAAAGCCUGACGGAGCAACGCCGCGUGAGUGAUGAAGGUCUUCGGAUCGUAAAACUCUGUUAUUAGGGAAGAACAAAUGUGUAAGUAACUAUGCACGUCUUGACGGUACCUAAUCAGAAAGCCACGGCUAACUACGUG
Molecule: ribosomal RNA, 497 nt
Filed under: uncultured bacterium
Lineage: Bacteria
Description: partial 16S ribosomal RNA
Rfam family: Bacterial small subunit ribosomal RNA
Source: RNAcentral